GACGAACGCUGGCGGCGUGCCUAACACAUGCAAGUCGAACGGAAAGGCCCUGCUUUUGUGGGGUUCUCGAGUGGCGAACGGGUGAGUAACACGUGAGUAACCCGCCCUUGUCUUUGGGAGAACAUCAGGAAACUGGGGCUAAUACCGGAGAGGAGCUCCUGCUGCAUGGUGGGGGUUGGAAAGUUUCGGCGGUUGGGGAUGGACUCGCGGCUUAUGAGCUUGUUUGUGGGGUAGUGGCUUACCAAGGGUUUGACGGGUAGCCGGCCUGAGAGGGUGACCGGGCACAAUGGGACUGAGGGAGGCACCAGACGCCUACGGGAGGCAGCAGUGGAAAGUAUGGCACAAUGGCGGGAAGCCUGAGACGGAGACGCCCGGUGCGUGAUGCUGGGCUUCGGGUUGUGAACCGCUUUGGACUGUGACGAAGCGUGAGUGACGGUAAUGGGUCAAGAAGCACCGGCUAACUACGUG
RNAcentral lists this ribosomal RNA (468 nucleotides) under uncultured bacterium. RNAcentral's name for it is "partial 16S ribosomal RNA". It matches the Rfam family "Bacterial small subunit ribosomal RNA", at positions 28 to 507 of the family's 1533-position model. The record is from RNAcentral.